This 465-nucleotide ribosomal RNA is filed under the name Vreelandella stevensii. Its description in RNAcentral is "partial 16S ribosomal RNA". It matches the Rfam family "Bacterial small subunit ribosomal RNA", at positions 338 to 795 of the family's 1533-position model. Lineage: Bacteria; Pseudomonadati; Pseudomonadota; Gammaproteobacteria; Oceanospirillales; Halomonadaceae. The record is from RNAcentral.
CCUACGGGAGGCAGCAGUGGGGAAUAUUGGACAAUGGGGGGAACCCUGAUCCAGCCAUGCCGCGUGUGUGAAGAAGGCCCUCGGGUUGUAAAGCACUUUCAGUGAGGAAGAACGCCUGGUGGUUAAUACCCAUCAGGAAAGACAUCACUCACAGAAGAAGCACCGGCUAACUCCGUGCCAGCAGCCGCGGUAAUACGGAGGGUGCGAGCGUUAAUCGGAAUUACUGGGCAUAAAGCGCGCGUAGGUGGCUUGAUAAGCCGGUUGUGAAAGCCCCGGGCUCAACCUGGGAACGGCAUCCGGAACUGUCAAGCUAGAGUGCAGGAGAGGAAGGUAGAAUUCCCGGUGUAGCGGUGAAAUGCGUAGAGAUCGGGAGGAAUACCAGUGGCGAAGGCGGCCUUCUGGACUGACACUGACACUGAGGUGCGAAAGCGUGGGUAGCAAACAGGAUUAGAUACCCGAGUAGUC